AGAGUUUGAUCCUGGCUCAGGAUGAACGCUGGCGGCGUGCUUAACACAUGCAAGUCGAACGAUUAACCCGCCCUCGGGCGGUUAUAGAGUGGCGAACGGGUGAGUAACACGUGACCAACCUGCCCCUUGCUCCGGGACAACCCAGGGAAACCUCGGCUAAUACCGGAUACUCCGCGCAGCCCGCAUGGGAGGCGCGGGAAAGCCCAGACGGCAAGGGAUGGGGUCGCGGCCCAUUAGGUAGACGGCGGGGUAACGGCCCACCGUGCCCGCGAUGGGUAGCCGGGUUGAGAGACCGAUCGGCCACAUUGGGACUGAGAUACGGCCCAGACUCCUACGGGAGGCAGCAGUGGGGAAUAUUGCACAAUGGAGGAAACUCUGAUGCAGCGAUGCCGCGUGAGGGAAGAAGGUUUUCGGAUUGUAAACCUCUGUCUUCAGGGACGAUAAUGACGGUACCUGAGGAGGAAGCUCCGGCUAACUACGUGCCAGCAGCCGCGGUAAUACGUAGGGAGCGAGCGUUAUCCGGAUUCAUUGGGCGUAAAGCGCGCGUAGGCGGCCCGUCAAGCGGGGUUUCAAAUCCAGGGGCUCAACCUCUGGCCGGACCCCGAACUGGCGGGCUCGAGUGCGGUAGAGGAAGGUGGAAUUCCCAGUGUAGCGGUGAAAUGCGCAGAUAUUGGGAAGAACACCGAUGGCGAAGGCAGCCUUCUGGGCCGCCACUGACGCUGAGGCGCGAAAGCUAGGGGAGCGAACAGGAUUAGAUACCCUGGUAGUCCUAGCCGUAAACGAUGGGCACUAGGUGUGGGGGAGCAUCUCCUCCGUGCCGCAGCCAACGCAUUAAGUGCCCCGCCUGGGGAGUACGGCCGCAAGGCUAAAACUCAAAGGAAUUGACGGGGGCCCGCACAAGCAGCGGAGCAUGUGGCUUAAUUCGAAGCAACGCGAAGAACCUUACCAGGGCUUGACAUAUGGGUGAAGCGGGGGAGACCCCGUGGCCGAGAGGAGCCCAUACAGGUGGUGCAUGGCUGUCGUCAGCUCGUGUCGUGAGAUGUUGGGUUAAGUCCCGCAACGAGCGCAA
Molecule: ribosomal RNA, 1069 nt
Filed under: uncultured Eggerthella sp.
Lineage: Bacteria; Bacillati; Actinomycetota; Coriobacteriia; Eggerthellales; Eggerthellaceae
Description: bacterial SSU rRNA
Rfam family: Bacterial small subunit ribosomal RNA
Source: RNAcentral